AUGCAAGCGGGCGCAUUUGUUUGUGGCAGCCUGGUCUGCCAACUGCUCCGUUGCCUUUUCUCGAGAGUCCUCUCAAGUCUGAGGCGCGGCGGUGUCGUCAUCGUCGCGUCAGUUCCAAUUCCAAUCCGAACCCCAGCCAUGCCGCCGCCGGCCCCCGCCGGCACGCCCCUCGCCGACCUCCUCGAGCCCGCCACCUUCGCGCCCCCCGCGCCGGCUCCCCCGCCUCCCACCCCCGCCGCCAUCCUCUCCGCGUGGUCGCACCUCCGCAGCGCCGCUCCCUCCCCCGCGGCCACCCUCGCCGCCCUCGAGACCCUCCACCUGCACCGCCGCUCGCUCCGUCUCAGCUCCGCGCACCUCGAGCUGCUCCUGCCGCUUCUCCCGCUCCACCCGCGCCUCGUCUCCCCGCUGCUCGCCACCUGCCCGCGUCUCCUCCUCAACUAUUCGCUCCCCUUUGCCCCCCUCCCCCUCGCCCCUCGGCUGCUCCUCCUGGGGACGCUCGCCACCGCCAAGGGCUCCAAGAAUUCCACCAGCAAUGGCACCUCAGGGAGCCCCAGCACGGGGAAUCUCGGGAGUGACCAUGGUAGCGACGACCCCGUUGUGUCUGUGAGUCGCAUUCUAGAGAAUAUGGAGCGGCUGGUGUCGGGGUUCGUCGGGUCGAGGAUGAUGCGCAAGGUUCAGGUUCUGUUCGAGGUAAUUUCACCAGAGAAGUGUGAGAGUGAGGGUUAUGUGCUGUUUCCGGCGGUGAUGGCGGCUUGCGGUGGACUACGGGCAUUGAGGGUUGCUUCGGUGAGACAUCGGUUGGACUUUGCCCCAAAAUUGAAGGAGGCUCCUGAACGGACCAUUUGUUUUGCAGCUCGGAGGGCAACUGUAGAUGAGAGAUACGACGAUGAUCAGCGACAUGUCCUUCUUCAGUGUGUUGCAUUAGGUUUGACACAGUGUGGGCCGGUAGCGCCUAAUGAUUCAGUGUUAAGGUGUGUUCUUAUGGCACUGCUGGAGGAGCUCCUUCCUCUUCCACGUCUGCUUAGGAUCUCAGUCAAGAGUCCAGAUGGAAAUUCAGCUGAGCUUGCCAAAAAUCAGGUCAAGCAACACCAGGAUAGUGUCCUGUUCAAAGAGGCAGGGCCAGUGACUGGGGUUCUGUGCAAUCAGUAUUCAUUUGCUGAUGAGAAGACUAAAGAUUAUGUUGAAACUCGUGUAUGUGAAUAUGCGCAAGAGCUGUAUCAUCAUCUUCGUGCAGCAGUGUUGCUGCACCAGGCAAAACGGAAUGGUUUGCUUGCGGAGAUUGAUAAGAUCGCUGAGGCGGCAUUUUUUAUGAUUGUAAGCUUUGCGGCAGAGGUCGCGAAACACAGGUUGGAUGCAAACUCCUCAGGGGGGUUCCAGCCAGAGGUUGCUGUUAGGAUCUUGGUGGAAUUCUCUUUUGUGGAACAUCUGAGACGUUUGCGUCUUCCAGAGUACACUGAAGCAAUCCGGCGUGCUGUUGUUGUUAAUCAGGAUAAUGCGGCAGCCAGUGCUUUAUUCAUUGAGUCAAUGCCUUCAUGUGCUGAAUUGACAACCAAACCAGAUUUACUAACCUUGGAUGGAACAAGAUAUAUCUGUUACGCAGAUGAGGUUCAGACGUCACGCAUCUUGUUUUAUCUGCGGGUUAUGCCUACUUGUAUUAGCCUUAUUCCAACUCAUCUAAUUCGGGAUAAAUUAGCUCCGGUCAUAUUCCUAUAUAUACAGCAUUCAAAUGAAAAAAUAACACGUGCUGCGCACUCGGUGAUGGUAUCAUUCCUGUCAUCUGGUAAUGAUUCUGAUCAGGACGAUCGAGUGGCUUUGAAAGAGCAGCUUGCCUUUGACUAUAUCAGGAGAUCCUUGGAGGCUUAUCCUGGGGUAACUCCAUUUGAAGGAUUAGCGUCAGGAGUUGUGGCGCUUGUUCGGCAUCUUCCUGCAAAAAGCCCUGCCAUUCUUUUUUGUAUCCAUAGCCUUGUUGUGAAAGCCAAAGAUCUUUGCACUACUGCGAUGAUUCAGGACAGAUCGUUGUGGAGGUCAUGGGAAGAGAGCACAGAGCCCUGUAAGAAAGUAUUGGACUUGUUGCUGCGGCUCAUCUUCCUUGUCGAUAUUCAGUCAUUCUCUUAUCUGCUCAAGGAGCUGGCGGAAUUUGUCACCUCACUGCCAAAGGAAGGCCAGGAUGUGCUCCUCGAUGACAUGCACGCCCACGUUGCAGAAUCUGACGAUGUUGUACGGAAGCCUGUGCUCGUGUCGUGGUUGCAGUCCCUAUCCUACAUAAGCUCACAAGCUGAUGUUCGUGAAUCUCGCAAUAACGCGAAAAAUGCUCGAUCUGCGGGUGGGGUUGAGCUGAGCCUGAACAGAACUAUUGCACGCUUGUGA
RNAcentral lists this ribosomal RNA (2367 nucleotides) under Triticum aestivum (bread wheat). RNAcentral describes it as "partial small subunit ribosomal RNA". Lineage: Eukaryota; Viridiplantae; Streptophyta; Magnoliopsida; Poales; Poaceae. The record is from RNAcentral.